AGGGGGCGGCGGCUCUGGAGGCCAGAGCCGCUGAGCGCGAAGUGCCCGAGGGCCUCACCUCGCGGGGCCCCGCAGACCCGCGCCCGGGAGCGCGACUGCUGCUCCCUCCCUACACACUGCUGGCCCCGGCGGAGAGGCGGAUGGCCACGCGUUACCUUCCAUGGACAUGGGCUCCAGGAUGCCGAACUGCUUGAGGACGGCGAUGAACAGCAGCACCACCACGGCCAUGGCGCACAGCUCCAUGCCCUGGAUGCCCAUGGCGACCCGGGCUGCCUGGGGCCGGGGCGUGCCCCUCGCCCGCGCGUGCCUCGGGAGGCGCCGGGGCCAGUGCAGCCCGCCCGGCCUCUGGGGGAGGCCGCGGCUCACAUCCCCCGGCAGGCGGGGCUGCGGGUGUCGACGGGGCCGAGGCCCCGCGAAGGGCGGCGGCGGCGAACUGAGCAGGCCGGGAGGUUGGACGCGGUGCGGCGGCAGAGCCCAAGCGCAACUUUCCGAGUCAGCCGGCAAACUUCGAGGCGCGGCGGCGACGGCGCGGAGCGCAGCUCGGGCGGCCGGCGCGGGCCAGAGACGCCUCCAUGGCCGGCGUGGGCGCCGCGCCUCUUUCGCCCCCUCUCCAGCCCCGCGGGCGCGGGGACACGGGGGCGCGGCGACACGGGGGCGCGGCGGCUGCGGGGGUCCCGGGUGCUCCCGGCCGCCCCAGCCUCCAUCGCUCCCCGCGCGCUCAUUGGCCUAGGCAAGGCGACCACCCGGGGAGGCGUCCCCGCCGCGCCCCCCCCUCCCGCGCGAGCCCGGGAAGGGGCGGAGGGAGGUGGCCCCGCCCCUCACAGCCCAGCCCCCUGACCGAGCCUGGCGCACAGCCAUCGCCACCCGGCCAUCCCCCCCGGAGGCCGCGCGGUCGGUGGUUUUACCCAACUGCCCGUACAAGGUGGGGGCUGAGUGGCUGGGGAGGGGGGCCGGAGGCCGGAGAGGAAGGGAGCCGCAGCUUCGCUCUGUGCGGGGAGUCGGAGCUCCAGUCUCCUGGCGGAAGGGUGCAGAGCCUGGCCUCCGCCGCUCACCGCCCCGCGGGCCAGCGCAGAGCGGGCCUUCGGGGGAUCGGGGAAGCCCUCUCUCCCUGGGGUAUUUCCCACACCAUCAGCCCUCGGCUCGAGGUUGAACUUGGCCCUGGUCUGCCGCCCGUUGAAAAUAGAAAAUUCAGGAAACCGAGGGCUAGAGGACGGACUGGGGAAGACGCACAGGUGGAGCGCAGGCCUCCCGGAUUCUAGCAGAUGCUGACGCAGCCUAACGCACGGUUCCAGUGGAAACGGAGGAACCAGACAAGAGUGCCCUUGGAAUUCCACAUCCCAAAGAAACGCCUCUAGGACUCCUCCCCAAGGGUGUCCCAAGGCUCUUCAGAUGCAGCGCUUACAAAGCUGAACUACCAGAGUGGUCAUCUCAAGAUGGACAUCAGGGCCUGCUUUUCCCUUGCUUACAACCCCUAGUGGCUCUCUGACUCGACCCUGGUUAUGUUUGCCUGGAUUUGACGACAGCCGUCCAAUUUCCUUUGUGGAACGCCUUGCUCCUGCCAGCCUCAGGCCAGUGAUUUCGGAGAUUUGGGGAUAUAACUGGUCAAUCACCACCAAUUCCUCUUUUCCCACUGCACACCACCCCUCCACUGCCACAGGGAUUGGUUCAAGAAUGGGUACCAGCUGGGGGCCAAGACAACGACAGACCUCCAUGAGUGGCCCUGGGACAAGCAGGAAAGAGGCACUCUCUUUCACUAUGGUAGCUAAAUGGCCACCCUGCCACCAUGUGGGGACAGCAAGCUGGAGAAUGAGGUUAUUUCUUGAGAAAGCAAGACAAGUAAAUAGCCCAAGUCCAGUUGACAAUGUUAUAUGCCUUGACCCAGCUGUGCCUGAUGGCACCGCUAAACCCGUAUCUUUCAGUUACAGGAGCUAAUAAAUCCCCCUACUGUUGCUUAAGCCAGUGUGAGUUGGGUUGCUGUUCUUUGCAACCAAAAGGGUCUUGAUCAAUGUAACCCCCAUUGCUCGCAGAACAGAGACCAAAAUCCUUAACACGGCCCAUAAGGGCAGCUGACAUUUACUAAGCACUUACUACGUACCAAGCACUUCAACACCACUCAGCUUCUUCAUUUCUCGCAGCUCCCAAUAAGGUAGGGAUUUGAUAAGAGGAAGAGAUCGAAGCACGGAGUGGUUCAUUCUUUGCUUAAGGGCACACAGCAGAUAAUACAUAGCGUCAGGGUUUGAACCCAAACGAUCCAGCUCCACAGCCUCCGAUUUUAAUUCAAUCCUGCCAUGCCCCACUAGACCAGUGUGGUUGGGCCCUUCCUCCCCUUCCUGCUCACAUGACCCCAGCCAUGCUUGCAGCUACCUGAGUGGGCCCCACUCUCCCACCUCUACAUCUCUGGGCAUGCUCUUCCCUGAGCCAUCAAUGCUCUUCUUCCUCCUCCUCUUCCUUUUCACCCAGCUAAUUAGUGCCUACUUAUCCUUUGGUUCUCGGCUUAAGCAUCACUUCUGCCAAGUAGCUUCCUUGACCUGCUCCCCCUUAUUAGUCUCCACCACACCCCCCCAUCCUCUUCCCUCUUUAUAGUUCUCACUGUGUGAGUUUAGCUAUUUCUUUCUGUGUUCAUUUAUUUGUUUCUGUUCUCCCACUGGAUUGUAAACUUCCUGAAGGUAUAAGUAUUACCUGCCUCAACGAAUUUAUGAAAUAAUUAAUGGAAUAUCAGGUGAUGCUUUUCCUCCAACUAUUUUAGCAGAGGCUAUCCUGGUGUCACUAGCAGGAGCACUGGACUGGGAGUCCAAGAGAACCAGGGCCAAGUCCCUAGUUCCAACCCUAACCUGUCAGCAGAGUUGGCUAAGGCACACCACCGCUCUGAGCCUUCCUUUCCUUCUUUUAAAAUGUGGCCACUUGAUGACAUUUACCUGCCUGUCAGUAAGCUCUGAGAACCUGACAAGCUGAUGGAUGUGAAAACAUCCCAAGACAGGCAUGAUGGGCCCUGUUCCCGGAGAUGCUCCUUCCUCAGAGCCAGGACAACCUAGGAAGUGACACCAAAGGAGCCUACUUCUCUUUGCUUUAUGGUAUUGCCCAACUCUUCCAAUCAAACACACUCCCGGGGGCCACACAGAACCCAUCCACACAGUCUCUGCUCUGGCCCAACUUCAGAUGAAAUGUCGGAGGUUUGUGGCAAUAGGUAACAGAAAACCUCCAUUCCUUUAGCUUAACCCAUAAGGGACUGUACAGUGUCACACACAGAAGUCCAGCAGGAGGGUGGCACCAGGGACAAUCAGCUCAGAUCCAGUAGUAUCAUUAAGGACCUGGGCUCAUGUAUCUACCUACAUACACCUCCAGCCUCAAAUCAUCAACCUUACUCCUGCUCCCCUCAUGACCACAAGAUGGAUGCCUAAUUCCAGACAUCACAUCCUGACAUGACAAUGUCCUGGGAAAAAAGAAGGGACCAUCUCUUCCUAUGUUUCCUUUUUUAUAGUGAAGAAGACUUACCCAUUAACAACUGGGCUAAUUCUUCUCAUGAACAAUUCCUCAUGUUUCAUGGCUGGAAUUAUUUCACAUGCGAUGCCUAAAUCUGUUGUCAGUGAGAGGAAUGAGACCACCACUGCAGGAGAGUCUGCUAGCUCUCCACCAAAACUCAUUCUCCUCUCUUCUACAGCAAAAAAAGUACUAACUAGACACAUGUUUGCCCAGUGGUGACAGCAUUUCUCUGACCCCUUUGUAAUCAGGUGUGGCCAUGUGACUAAAUUUUUGCCGGUGGAAGUAAUGGGUGCUGCUUUGGGGAUGGAGGCCCUAAGUCAGUGAGUGAGUCUCUUACUCACUCUGUCUUCUCUUUUCCUACUGGCUAGAACCCAGACAUGUCGAUGACCAGCCUCAGCCAUGUAGAUCACGACAAGUCUGGAAGGGGAGGAGAGAGUGGAGCCAUAAGAUGGAAGGGACUUGGGUCCCUGAAUGACCGCAUGGAACAGAACUGCCCACCAGCCUGGAACACUCGCCAUGAGAUGUUAAGGGAGAAAGAAAUAAACUUAAAAAAACUCUCUUAAAGAAAGAGAGAAAUGAGUUGAGAGCUGGCUAUUUUGAAAAUAGAGGUAGAAGGGAAGAGGGAGACACCAUAUACUGAAGGCUUCACAAUGUUGGAAAAGCAAACACUUUUGGGCCAAACUAUAGAAAUAAGAUUGUUGCAAAAAGCAUUUUUCAAAAGUCCUUUGAGAUUUAUCAGCCAAACAAAGAUGGCCUCAAGUGAGACACAACAGGUACAACAAGGAAUCCAGGAAAUAAAGCAGCUAUGGGAGAACCAUAUUCAGAAAAGAACUUUGGUAGUGGUUCCUGAACACAAAACUGACUAGAAGGAAAUGGACCAGAAACUGACCAGGUGUUUGAGGGAAUUACAUUGUGGUAGAAGCCAGAAGUCCGGCUCCCAAAAGCCUGUGAGUAAUCGAGAUCUACAAUAACUCUGGGCCCUUCUAACUUGCACUAGCAGAAAACUUGGAAAGCUCUAUGGCCCUAAAGGAGGACACACUUCCCAACACCUAACUUGAAAUGUGGCUGAGAGGGAAAUGGGCAGAGAAUGGAAGGCAAGGCUGGGACCGUGGAGGACAGCAGGCAAGGUGCUGGACCCAAAGAACAGAAGUAAGGUAGGUAAUUAAGCUUUCUCAUUCCACUGCCAGGGUGGAUAGCCCGAGGAUCCUCACUAUCCAAAUCGACACAUAUCUGAAUUCAGAUAUGAAAGUUAUUGUAGUAAUGUCAGGUCAUGGGCAGUAUACUGUAUCAUCCAAAUCUAUCAGAUUCCUGAGUUUUAGAUAACAAGUAUGAGAAUUCGUGAACGAAAUGUAUUUCAGAAAAUUAUCUGAAUCUGUUCAGUUCUUCAGUUCAGAUAUGAAGAAGUUGGCAGAGCCACAAGGUGGAAGGCACCUGGGCCCUGUAUAUCUGCGUGGAGUAGAGCCAUUCACCAACCUGCACACCCACCUCAGGAUGGUCACAGGAGAGAGAAAUACACUUCUUUGUCCUUAGGCCAUUGAGUUUUGAGAGUCUCAUUGCUAU
Long non-coding RNA from Acinonyx jubatus (cheetah), 5040 nucleotides. RefSeq lists it as uncharacterized. Lineage: Eukaryota; Metazoa; Chordata; Mammalia; Carnivora; Felidae. The transcript has 4 exons. The record is from RefSeq and is a predicted model, not a curated record.